This 256-nucleotide ribosomal RNA is filed under the name uncultured bacterium. Its description in RNAcentral is "partial 16S ribosomal RNA". It matches the Rfam family "Bacterial small subunit ribosomal RNA", at positions 524 to 777 of the family's 1533-position model. The record is from RNAcentral.
UACGUAGGGACCGAGCGUUGUCCGGAAUCAUUGGGCGUAAAGAGCGUGUAGGCGGCUAUUUAAGUCCUGCGUGAAAUCCUGCGGCUCAACCGCAGACGGUCGUGGGAAACUGGAUGGCUAGAGUGCGGGAGAGGAGAGUGGAAUUCCCGGUGUAGCGGUGAAAUGCGCAGAUAUCGGGAAGAACACCCGUGGCGAAGGCGGCUCUCUGGAACGCAACUGACGCUGAGACGCGGAAAAGCGUGGGGAGCAAACAGGG